UUGACAGUCCAAAAACCACCUGCCCUCGGGAGAUACCCGAGGUGUGGCCAUUGGGAGAAAUGGCCAGCGAUUCGUUCGCUUGAUGACGUGGGAAUAGGACAC
This 102-nucleotide non-coding RNA is filed under the name unclassified sequences. The record is from Rfam.